Molecule: long non-coding RNA, 779 nt
Organism: Mugil cephalus (flathead mullet)
Lineage: Eukaryota; Metazoa; Chordata; Actinopteri; Mugiliformes; Mugilidae
Exons: 5
Source: RefSeq, a predicted model, not a curated record
CAGGUUGGAGUGGAGUCUUCUUCAUCUCUCUGGUUAAAUAAACUGUGAACUGACCCUUGAUCCAGGAAGUAGCUGACUCACCUGUUCAGUGUUCAGGUUGGAGUGGAGUCUUCUUCAUCUCUCUGGACUGGUUAAAUAAACUGUGAAGGUAGAAAGUGUGUGUCAACUGAUGUGAAUCCAGGAGAAUGGAUCAGUGUGAGGACAGAGAGGAGGGAGUCCCUCCUUCUAAACCCAAUGUGAGAAAGUUACGUGAGAUGUUCGAGAAGAAGUGUGAAGCUCAGAGUGUCCAUCAGACACCAGAAUGUAAACCUGAACCUGAACCCAAACCUGAUCCCAGCUGUGUGUCUAUGAAGAGUGACCAGUCCAUGGUUUUUCCAUUAAAAUUUGCGGGAAGGUAAGUUGUAAGGUUUGGGAACAUGUUCAGCAUCUUUGUUGUCGUUUUGUGUGUGUUGUGAAUAAAAUUAAACUUUUUGUAAGUAUUGUGUAGCCUGUCACAGUGAUGAUGAAUCCUCACUUGAUACGAAUUUAAUAAUUUAGAAAUGGCUGUAAAAUAAAAAAUCUGCUGUAAGUAAUUUGAUCUCCACUUUGUCUGUCAGACAUCAGACACCAGAUUACUCUAAAUCUGAACCUAAACAUAAAGCUACACUCAAACCUGAACCCAGCAGUGUGUCUAUGAAGAGUGACCGGUCCAUGAAUACUCCACUAAGAUUUGACUCCAGAAGAGUGAAGCAGCAGAGUUUAAAUGUUCUCAGUGAUCAGUCUGUUCAUCAGCAUCAAAC